This 253-nucleotide ribosomal RNA is filed under the name uncultured bacterium. Its description in RNAcentral is "partial 16S ribosomal RNA". It matches the Rfam family "Bacterial small subunit ribosomal RNA", at positions 524 to 776 of the family's 1533-position model. The record is from RNAcentral.
UACGGAGGGUGCGAACGUUAAUCGGAAUCACUGGGCGUAAAGCGCGCGUAGGCGGUCUGUUAAGUGGGAUGUGAAAUCCCCGGGCUUAACCUGGGAAUUGCAUUUCAAACUGGCCGACUAGAGUACGGUAGAGGGAGGUAGAAUUUCCUGUGUAGCGGUGAAAUGCGUAGAUAUAGGAAGGAAUACCGGUGGCGAAGGCGGCCUUCUGGACAGUGACUGACGCUGAGACGCGAAAGCGUGGGGAGCAAACAGG